GCCAGGUGUGGUGGCACAUGCCUGUAAUCCCAGCUACUUAGGAGGCUGAGGCAGGAGAAUCACUUGAACCCAGGAGGCGGAGGCUGCAGUGAGCAAAGAUCAUGCCACUGCACUCCAGCCUGGGCAAUACAGUGAGACUCUGUCUCAC
Molecule: non-coding RNA, 148 nt
Filed under: Gorilla gorilla gorilla (western lowland gorilla)
Lineage: Eukaryota; Metazoa; Chordata; Mammalia; Primates; Hominidae
Source: Rfam by way of RNAcentral